CAGGCUUGCUCGAUGCGCUCCAGGACCACACUGUCCCACUGUUUUUUGGCCAGGGUGAACUGGCGGUUGGGCUCCAGCUCGAUGGUGUGUCUUGAGGCGCGCCGCGCAAAAUCAGCUCGAGAGACACCGCUGCGAACACCUUUCUCUCCGCGGUUCCGGCUGCUGUACUGACCAAGGCUGAUACAACGAGGGCGCAUGCGCAGCCCGCGUCCUGCCUCCCAGCGCGCUGCUUACGUCCCUUAGGAGGAGGCGGGGCCGCAGCUUGCGCGUGCGCAGGCGCGCUAAGCCCGGAGGUGUUUCCCGAAAAAUAAACCACCUAAGGAAAGCA
Long non-coding RNA from Capra hircus (goat), 328 nucleotides. RefSeq lists it as uncharacterized. NCBI's taxonomy places the organism in Eukaryota, Metazoa, Chordata, Mammalia, Artiodactyla, Bovidae. The transcript has 2 exons. The record is from RefSeq and is a predicted model, not a curated record.